RNAcentral lists this ribosomal RNA (335 nucleotides) under uncultured bacterium. RNAcentral describes it as "partial 16S ribosomal RNA". It matches the Rfam family "Bacterial small subunit ribosomal RNA", at positions 338 to 670 of the family's 1533-position model. The record is from RNAcentral.
CCUACGGGAGGCUGCAGUGAGGAAUAUUGGUCAAUGGGCGGAAGCCUGAACCAGCCAAGUAGCGUGCAGGAUGACGGCCCUACGGGUUGUAAACUGCUUUUAUACGGGAAUAACGCGCCUUACGUGUAGUGCUUUGCAUGUACCGUAUGAAUAAGGACCGGCUAAUUCCGUGCCAGCAGCCGCGGUAAUACGGAAGGUCCGGGCGUUAUCCGGAUUUAUUGGGUUUAAAGGGUGCGUAGGCCGCAUGUCAAGUGUGCUGUGAAAUGUCCGGGCUCAACCCGGGCCUGGCAGGGCGAACUGGCGUGCUUGAGUCCGCGGAAGGCAGGCGGAAUUAG